RNAcentral lists this ribosomal RNA (433 nucleotides) under uncultured bacterium. RNAcentral's name for it is "partial 16S ribosomal RNA". It matches the Rfam family "Bacterial small subunit ribosomal RNA", at positions 29 to 507 of the family's 1533-position model. The record is from RNAcentral.
AACGAACGCUGGCGGCAGGCCUAACACAUGCAAGUCGAGCGAGGACUUCGGUCCUAGCGGCGGACGGGUGAGUAACGCGUGGGAACGUGCCCUUUGCUUCGGAAUAGCCCUGGGAAACUGGGAGUAAUACCGGAUGAGCCCUUUGGGGGAAAGAUUUAUCGGCGAAGGAUCGGCCCGCGUUGGAUUAGGUAGUUGGUGGGGUAAUGGCCUACCAAGCCGACGAUCCAUAGCUGGUUUGAGAGGAUGAUCAGCCACACUGGGACUGAGACACGGCCCAGACUCCUACGGGAGGCAGCAGUGGGGAAUCUUAGACAAUGGGGGAAACCCUGAUCUAGCCAUGCCGCGUGAGCGAUGAAGGCCUUAGGGUUGUAAAGCUCUUUCAGCUUGGAAGAUAAUGACGGUACCAGCAGAAGAAGCCCCGGCUAACUCCGUG